GAGGGAAUUCACAGGAAAGACUGUUGGACUUGUAGCACCACCUUUGCCACUGGAAAUGAUGGCUAAGUGAUCUCACACAGGGUUCUAAGGGCUCUCUGAGGACACUGGAGGACAGAGCAUCCCACCCUGGAAGGGCUUCCCCCUCCGACCUGCAGUGCUCCUGUUCUAGUUAAAACAAGACCCAGAGAAACUGUUACCAUUGAAAUUGACCAAGGGCACAAAACACUAUGUCUUUCUAUCCUUUUGCUGGUUUUGUACCCUUAAUAGCUUUUUGUCAUUGAAAUGGAGUCUGUAUGGGGACCAGUGUGUUAGACAAGGUCCUCCAGAGAAACAGGACCAGGUUGUAGAUGUGGGAAGAGGAGAGAGAUUGGUCUAAGGUCCUGAGGAACUAUGGAGUAAAUGGAGAAGGCCAAUGUCCCAGCUCAAGGAGGCAGGCAGAAAGCAAAGGGGACAAAUUCCUCCUUCCUUCAUCUUUUUUGUUUUCUUUUUGAGAUGGGGGGGUCUCACUAAGUUGCAGGGGCUGGUCUUGAACUCACGGAUUCAUGUGAUCCUCCACCUCAGACUUCUGAGUAGCUGUUCCACCAUGCCUGGUCCCCACCUUAUCAUUUUUUGUUAGCCUCUCGAUAAAUUGGAUGAUGUCCUCCUACCUUAGGGAAGGUGAUCUAAUACCAAGUCUACAGAUUAAAAUACUGAUCUUACCUGGAAACACCGUCAUAGACACACCCAGUUUACAUUGGGCAAUGCACAGUGUAGUUAACGGACACUGAAAAUUGGCCAAUACAACCAGCCAACAAUAGAAUGCGUGGGGAGGAGAGAGAAAGAAACACAGCCUCAGGGUUGGGGAAGGAAGUGGGAGUGUAGAGUGUGGACAGGCUCACUAUCUCCAUUUUAGAGGUGAGGAAAUUAGGUCCAAAGAGCUCAAGUAACUUGCCCAAGUUCACAAAGCUAGUGAGGGAUGGUGCUGGGACUUGAACCUGCUCAGUGCAACAUUGUGCUCUGCUGUGCCCUCCUGCCCCUCUUUGGCUUAAGGAUUUUAUGUCUGGUUCAUUUGUUAGGUAGUUAUAAAAAGGAAAUGCUUUUUGGCAUGGGGAACCUACUUUUUGUCCAUUAAAACACACUUCUAGGGUAGGUCCCACUGGCCAAUAACUUUGGAGAUUGAUGACAUCAUUGUCAUCAUGUGAACGGUCUAUUAAGCACCUCUGUCCAAGAACCAGGCUGAAGAUCCUGCCUUUGAAGCAUCAAGUGGAAGAGAUAGCAUGUAGACAAGUUCAAUAAACAGUUAAAAAGUGAUACCUGCUAGGGAAGAACAUUGAGGCUUGGUUGGAUUCUUGGAGUUAUUACUUAUACCUCAUGAAAGUUGCUCUGAAUUUCUUGUUGGGCACUAAGAUAUUCAAGAUUAUGUCCAAGUUAAGUUCUUGUAGAACUCAGGGAGGGGGGUGAGGGUUAGCUCAGAGAGUGGGACCAGGGACAGCAGAUGUGGGUGCCUCUGAAAUUUAUGGGUCUCAAAGUCUCCGAAUCUGCUCAGUUCCUUAGUUAAAAACCAGCUCUGUGUAGAGACCAAUCCUUGGGCAUCACAGGCAAGAAGGCACCUACAUCUGUGGGAAAAGUGGGAAAUCUCAUUGGACUGUGUUCUUUGAGAUAGUCCUGGUCGUAUUUAACUCCAAAGGUUGAAAGAGAAAGUAAGUUUUAUUUCUAUGGAGCUUGUGAAACCAGGAGCCCUGGGUUGCAGCAGGUUCCCUGGCGAGUUCUGCCCAACAUCCAGCACAGAGCAGGGGACACUUGAGUACUGUGUGGGACAUUAGUGCCCCGACACACUGCACACUGGCAGGCUCAGAGCAGCCCUCUGCGUUUCUCACUCCUGCCUCUGUUCCCAUCAGGUGUGGCCUUUGUCACCAGAGGGCUCAGCCCCAUCUCUACUGGAACCAUCACUCACCUAAUUGUUCUGAUAAGAAAUCCUGCAUCAUCCUCACCCCAUGCUCUUGCACGUCACCCAGAUGCCUCACCUACGUUUGCUCCUUCCUCUCUCUGCUGCUGCUCUGAGUCCAGCAGCACCCUCCACCCUGGACUCCUGCAGAGCCUCUUUUCUUGUCUCCUGCUUCCUCUUUUUUCCUUCCGGUUUCUUCUCCAUGCACAGUGAGUGGCCUAAGUGAUUUCUUAGAUUAAAUUGUACCAUUUGUGUGUACCUUCUGAAGACCUCUCAGUGGCCUUCCACUGCUGUUGGAAUAAGUCCACACCUAGCAGGAUGGCAGCGAGGUCCUGCCUGAUCAGGCUCCUGCCCCGCCUUCCAGCUUCAUCUUUGUACCCCCCUCCUCCCCUUCUCACCGGUGUCACUCUGGCUCCUUUGUAUUCCUUAGAUCCUUUCAGCACUUGCCAUAUCUGGUCUUCUGGCACUUCGUUCCCUUGGCCAGGGAUACCUUUCCUCCUGACUCUUUGUGUGGUUGGCCUGUUUUAUACUUCAGGUCUUGCUUCCUCGGCAGGGUCUCACCUGCGCUAUCUCCCCCUCUCCACUCAGUUAUUGCACUUCUUUCUCCCCAGCAUGUAGCAUGCAUUUUAUUUAUUUAUUUUUUUGGCGGUGCUAAGUGUGGCGUGCAUUUUUAUUCCAUAUAAAUAAUUGGCUCUCCUUGGAUUCAACCAAUAACAAAUAUUUGGCAAAGAACAUGCAUCUUCUUCUCCUUUUUUAAAAAUAUUUUUUAAAGUUAUUGAUAGACCUUUAUUUAUUUGUUUAUUUAUAUGGGGUGCUGAGAAUCGAACCCAGUGCCUCACACAUGUCAGGCAAGUGCACGACCACUGAGCCACAGUCCCAGCCCUAGAACAUGCAUCUUCUUUACAAAGCUUUUUUCUUUUUAUUAUUCCCUCCACAAUGCUAUAUUACAGCAAUCUGCAUAGCAUUUACAUUGUGUUAGUUAUUACAAGUAAUCUGGAG
RNAcentral lists this long non-coding RNA (2923 nucleotides) under Marmota monax (woodchuck). The record is from RNAcentral. Lineage: Eukaryota; Metazoa; Chordata; Mammalia; Rodentia; Sciuridae.